This 123-nucleotide microRNA precursor is filed under the name Carica papaya (papaya). Its description in RNAcentral is "miR393 stem-loop (cpa-MIR393)". Its record names the gene cpa-MIR393. It matches the Rfam family "mir-393 microRNA precursor family", at positions 11 to 120 of the family's 126-position model. Lineage: Eukaryota; Viridiplantae; Streptophyta; Magnoliopsida; Brassicales; Caricaceae. The record is from miRBase by way of RNAcentral.
UCCAAAGGGAUCGCAUUGAUCCUUUACAAGGUGAAAGCAAUCUAUAUAUAUAUAUGUGUGUGUGUGUAUAUAAGUCUGUCUCCUGUAUAUAUAGAGUUUAGGAUCAUGCUAUCCCUUUGGAUU